Strigops habroptila (Kakapo) is the source of this 2156-nucleotide long non-coding RNA. The record is from Ensembl. NCBI's taxonomy places the organism in Eukaryota, Metazoa, Chordata, Aves, Psittaciformes, Psittacidae.
UGGACGUUAAAAAAAGAAUUUAUUUGAACAAAUAUUAGACACAAUCACAGAGGAAGAAAGCAGCUCUCAGUUUCUUUUCCAGAAUGAAAUAAUCCCUGUUUCAUACCAAGCUACUGCAGGACAACCCUUCCUCUCCUCAGCAGGAGGGAGGCUGGUGUUCUUCCCACCCGUGGAGCUGCUCCAUAGGGGUAUGAUGCACUCCUUUGCAGGCUACACCACAGCUCUCAGUCUCACAGGCUAAAGAAAUGCAUAAAGACCCCACAGACAAACUGAACUAGUGGUACAGCAAAGGUGCCUGGCCAGGUAAGAAAUACAUGUAGGGAUGCACUGCUGAGUGAGAGCUCUACUCAAGAAGUGGUGUCCUGUUAAGAGGUGCGUAGGACAUGACACUUCUAGCUACGGCCUCUGUACUCCCCAUCUCUUGGGACUCCUCACUGAACCCUCACUGAUGGCGUUUCAGCUGGGGGAGUCCUUCCAACAUUCAGCUCAUUUUUGCCACACCAUCUUUUCCAGGUCUCUAGGCCUCAUCCUGCAAGCAGCUCCAAGGCUGUGAACCACUUCCCUUUGCAAGACCUGCCCACCUCUUUCAUACUGUCAUACUGCCCAUGCAGACAGCAGGCUUGUCUCAUGUCCUGGGGACUACAUGAGCUGCACCACGAAGAGAAAUGGUUGUGAGAGAUGUUUUGGGCAUUUGUUUGGAUCCAGAGCCAUACUGCGUUACUUCGUGUUUUUUACGGGCCCACUUAGCUCAGGUAUGCUGGGUUUCGGAGCAGGGCAAAUAAUCCACAGCUAUGUCACCUUCUCCAGAGUGUUCCCAAACUGAUGGGCCAUGGCCAGAUGCAGAUAAUACCCUGAGUAUUGAAGGCAUUGCCUGACAGACCUGUCAUACUCUCUGCUACAUAAACCAGAACGAAAUGUCUGUGAAAGAAGUUUGAGAAAUUCAUGCAAGUUCUGUAAUAAAAUGUGAAUAGAUCCACUGGGAAAUGAAACCCCUGGGAAAGAGGUGAGAGGGGAACAGAGCAAACAUAGUGAAUGUUUUUCUCUGGCAGCAACUUCAUGGAUUUCCUUUCUUUUGAUUUCAACAGAUCAAACAGUGACUUUUAAGAAAGGGAAGCAUAAUGGAAAGAAGCCCUGAGCCCUUCAUUCCUGUUCUGCAGCCUCAGAAAGAACUGUACAAGGUAAAUUCUGUUCUCCUGCGUAGAUCUGAAACUGAGGGGUUUACUGACCAAAAGAAACUUUCUCACUACAACCCCCUUCUUUUGAUUCAGAACUCAAUGUAUGGACAAUUUUACUUUGAAAUUGAGAUCACAAGCAAAUUUUCCAGGUCCUUAGAAGAUUCCCUGAAUAUCAGCAUCUCAACUAAGUAGAAUCACAACUUUCAUUUAACAAUGUUCAUUCUUCUUUCCUUCUCCAUCUCCCUUUCUUCCUUCCAUCUCUCUUUUCCCUUUUUAUUCCCUUCCUUUUCUUUCAUUACAUUCGUCUCUUCUUUCAUUACACACAUGGCUCUCCAUCCACAUUUCACCUCUUGGUACUGUUAUAAACCCUUUGCUGACAGUUUUGUCUCUGCUAGACAGAUAGAGCCACUCAUCACUGUUCCUCACCUUUUCCUUCUCUCCAAACAUCACACACACACAAGGCCUUUCAAAAUAGGUUCCCAAGUUAAUGACUACCUCUUGAGAUAGGACUAUAGCACUGGCAUCCAUUGGACUACAGAGUCCCCUCAGAGAACAUUUUGCUUAAAGAAUUACUGUAGCUCCCAGUGCCUGCUAAUGGUCUUUAUUUGCGAAAACCUUCUCAAGGGUACUCACAACACAGGGCCUUUAAGAGUGAGCGCUACUUGUUCACAGCUAAGUGACUUGUACCUAUUUUGGCAAGCAGAAUCAGAGGGGGAUCCCAAAUCUCUCAUUACAAACUCUGCAUCCCAUGUCUGAUCACUUUGCAGUCGCCUGUAACUGCUCUACUCUCUGCCAAGCCUGUAAAUCAGGCAAAACAUAGGCAGACUUCACAAGUCCCUCGCAUUUAUUAUGCUGCGUCGGAACUCUGUGUUAGCCUCAGACAGAAAACUGGUCAUUCUGAACAAUGUAAGGAACCUGCCUGUUCUGAGGUACUGAGUUGUGAUGUAUGAAAGGCUCCCAUUAGUCUGGGACACUACAGAC